GGAGACACACCCAAAUACCUCCACCCGGCCGGGGAAUCGAACCCCGGUCAUCUGGCUUGUGAAGCCAGCGCUCUAACCACUGAGCUACCGGGCCGUGUGUAUGUGUGUGUGUGUGCUUUAUUCACCAACGAUCAUCGGCUGGUCUCACCACACAGCCGCUCGCAUUUCAAAAAACCUCAGGAGUUGACAGUAACUCAUCUGAACAGGACUGCGAUCACUCUCGUGCCACAAGCCCUCGGCCUCCCUGCCAAGCCUGCUGCUGCUGGUGGACAGGGACCGCACACUGAGAGGCUGGUCUGUGGAAGGGGUCUGGCUCCCUUCAUGCAUCCCACCGUCACACUCGUGUUCCUGUCACCGCCUUUCUCAAGUGUUACCGACACGGCAGAUUAAAACCCUUUUUCGCCGCAACAACUACGUCUCUGCCACUCCCCACAGUCCACAGGAGGCGCAACACCACCAGCAGGAGGAGAAGGAGGUACUACAAUAACAGCAGCAGCAGCAGCAGCAGAAAGACAAACAGACAAGAGAAAGGAACGAGUAGAUCUGAGUACAGCAGCAGCAGCAGCAGCAGUAGUAGCAUUGCUGCAUCAUUAUCACUGCUAAUGUCACCACCACCAUCAUCACUACCAUCACCACCAUCAACACCUAGGAGACCAUCACCAUCAUAGAAACCUGCAUGUAGUGUUACGUAAUGGCCAAACCACUCUUCAAACACUUAGCCUCCCGGUGGCGGUACAGCGGGCAGCCCUUCGUCACCGCGCUCCUCCUUGCCCGUCUGUCUUUUGGUCGGGUGGAGUGCGUCUGUUGACUGUUCUUCCCUCCUUGAGUUCCGCCGCAGCACCACACACAAACACGUUACUCAGGCGCUAGUUAUGCACUGCUAAUAAUUGUUGUUGGUUCCAAUAAAUCUUUGUUACACUGUA
Molecule: long non-coding RNA, 923 nt
Organism: Portunus trituberculatus (swimming crab)
Lineage: Eukaryota; Metazoa; Arthropoda; Malacostraca; Decapoda; Portunidae
Exons: 2
Source: RefSeq, a predicted model, not a curated record